GCGAGAGAGAGCUUGUUUCUCGAGCGAGUGGCGAACGGGUGAGUAACGCGUGAGGAACCUGCCUCAAAGAGGGGGACAACAGUUGGAAACGACUGCUAAUACCGCAUAAGCCCACGGUGCCGCAUGGCACAGAGGGAAAAGGAGCAAUCCGCUUUGAGAUGGCCUCGCGUCCGAUUAGCUAGUUGGUGAGGUAACGGCCCACCAAGGCGACGAUCGGUAGCCGGACUGAGAGGUUGAACGGCCACAUUGGGACUGAGACACGGCCCAGACUCCUACGGGAGGCAGCAGUGGGGAAUAUUGCACAAUGGGGGGAACCCUGAUGCAGCGACGCCGCGUGGAGGAAGAAGGUCUUCGGAUUGUAAACUCCUGUUGUUGGGGAAGAUAAUGACGGUACCCAACAAGGAAGUGACGGCUAACUACGUGCCAGCAGCCGCGGUAAAACGUAGGUCACAAGCGUUGUCCGGAAUUACUGGGUGUAAAGGGAGCGCAGGCGGGAAGACAAGUUGGAAGUGAAAUCUAUGGGCUCAACCCAUAAACUGCUUUCAAAACUGUUUUUCUUGAGUAGUGCAGAGGUAGGCGGAAUUCCCGGUGUAGCGGUGGAAUG
Molecule: ribosomal RNA, 604 nt
Filed under: uncultured Lachnospiraceae bacterium
Lineage: Bacteria; Bacillati; Bacillota; Clostridia; Lachnospirales; Lachnospiraceae
Description: bacterial SSU rRNA
Rfam family: Bacterial small subunit ribosomal RNA
Source: RNAcentral